This is a long non-coding RNA of Lolium perenne, 3325 nucleotides long. RefSeq lists it as uncharacterized. NCBI's taxonomy places the organism in Eukaryota, Viridiplantae, Streptophyta, Magnoliopsida, Poales, Poaceae. The record is from RefSeq and is a predicted model, not a curated record.
AUUCCCCUCCCGGUAACACGAAACUAUCAACCGCAUCUUCCUUCCUUCGCGACGGCGACCUCCCCGCACCCCACUCCUCCCGAUCUCGGCCUAGGGGCGAAACCAGGAGCGUCGCUGCUGCUUCCGUCGUCUCUGGAAAGAGAAUACCCCUAUCCGUUCCUGUCCUUCUCGAUUGGAGCAAGUCGUUCAAGGCCGAACAACACCGCCGCUGGCCGCUGCAGUUAACUGCCUAGAAGAAGGUACGUGGCCUCUGCGCGGGUGGUGCCCUUUCCAUUCCCUUUCUUUCCGGUUGUAGUGAAAAGAUUGCUGCCCUGUCUGCCUCAUUUGAUCCUCUCUCUCCUACUUCAUUGCUGAUUUGAUUUCUCUCACCCCUGUUUCCUGGAAAUGCAUAUUUCUGAUUCAUGUUGUUCUUUUGGUGAUUAUAUCGGGAUCAUGGCGUCCACGACGAAGGGAAAGAUGGCGCGGACGAUGACAACAGAGAGCGAUGCGGAGGCCCGAGGGGGAGUCGGCGGCUUCAAGGUCUCCAGGACGACGCGGAGGAGGCAGGGGAUGCGGCGUUCGUCUCUCUGGUGAAAGGAAAAGACAGGGGGGCUGUGGACUAGCAUCUUGGACAACGCGCAUCCUCUCAACUAGCCUCUUCCACAGCGUAGUAGGAGAUGAGCGACAUCGAACAGAUAAGCCGUAGCAGUAGAUCCGCGUCUUCCACCUGAGAGCCCUAUGUACUCAUCAGGUUUAAUCGUUCAUAUAUGAUAUAUCACACUAUUUUUUCUUGUUGCAGAUAUGUGUUCCCUGGAUGUUGUAGGAGCAGCAAAUCUAAUUAUAAAUUUUCUACCACAAACCAUCAGCGAUAUUGAUGGAUUGAAGCAAAAUCACUCCAUUGUUGGCUACCAUACAGUAUAUGUAUAGCAGCUUAAGUAUAUUGAUGGCUUGUUAUCCUUGAUUGAAGAUGCCUUGGUGAGGGAUUGGACACUCGAACUGUUGCUGGAUUCUUCCCUUGCAUAGGGGGGUAAGCUAGCUGACUGGAGCAUUGGCCUUUCUUGCCUUGUAUUACCGACUCGGAGGCUGCCUGUGAAACAAAACUUCUGAGGAUGCCAUGAUACAAGACAAUUCGGAGCAAGUUGGCCCAGAAGUGCUAACAUGAUUAGAAGUGAUGUAGCUAAUACUUUGUUUUGAGAUGAUACAAGAUCCUAUGAACUAUUUGCUUGAGAGAUCCACAUGGUAAGAUUCCUACUUUCUUUGUCUUAUUUCUAUUAUCCCAAGAUAAGCUUGUUUCCUCUGGUGGUAUGCCUUUCAGAUGAAGAGCAUCAUUGGUCCAGUUCUAGAUUCAGCCAUUAAGGUUUGCUUGGCCUUAAAACAUCAGUACUUAUCUAAUUGUAUACAUGUUCUAGCAUCUUGCUACAAACGAGAUUUGGAUCAUUGGUCCUGUUCUAGAUUCAGCCAUUAAGGUUUGCUUGGCCUUAGAACAUCAGUACUUAUCUAAUUGUACACCCGUUCUCGAUUUACUGUACAUCACCAUUAGGAUUUUUUCUGCCACAACUUGUUUGCACUAGCACAAUUUAUAGAUUGAGGAAAAAUUGACUAAUUUUACACAUGCAUGUUAAUUAUUGUCCAACAUAGGCACAAAAUAAUUGGAACAUUGUUCUUCAUUUAUUGGAGUUCAUAUAUUAUAGAAAAGGAAUAACCAAACAAGUUAUUCUGCAUAGUUGUUGACAAGUGUCAAAUAAAUUCAUCAUUUUCAGACCGUAUGCAUGAUAUUUUAAAAUGUGGGUGGUACAAACUUGCUUUACUUUGAACACUAUGCGAAACCAGUUGCAUUGCUGCUGCUCCGUCGUCUCUGAAGAGAGAAUACCCCUAUCCGUUCAUGCCCUUCUCGAUUGGAGCCAGUCAUUCAAGGAGGAACAGCACCGCUGCUGCCCUCCCCACCUUCCGUCCGGUGGGGCAGCUGAGAGGGGCUCCAGCAGCAAGUCCGGUCUCGCUGGCUGGUGUUGCUGUCUGCUACACAAUCUAUGGAAACGUCGCAAUCUAUGGAAAUAUUGCUUCUAUGCUGAAGCACAAAAAUGUUAUCGCUGUUGGAAAUGCUUGACUAUUUCCUUGCUAGGGAUGAACUGGGGUAAUUACGUUUCAAUGUUUUCUUCUCAUUUUAUCUUUCCAAUUUUUAUUGAUGGUCCCAUGAUUUUUAGGAAUUAUGCCAAUUAAUUAUGAACUCUUCAUAUCAUAAAACUUUUUAUUACAGUACUAUAAACAUUAUCAUUUGUUUCGUUUUGAUAAUUUUAGGUUAACUUUCCAUCACUCGAUAGUCAAGAAUGCAGUGGGGACCUAUACUGGAUACGUUUAGUUCUUUACCCAGCUAUACUUGUAUUACUUAAUGCCAAAUGACGAUGGCGUUCUGAGAGAACUUGCAUCCUGUAGGGGAGCCAUACAAACACACCUCACUCAGCACAUAUAUUCACAUUAACAGGAGUAUGGUACCAGGAUUGAACCAUCAACACAGCAAAGUUUGUGAUGACAUUCUAAAGCUUCUUGAUUUCCUACCUUGUCCUCUCUUCUGUGUAGCACAGCCCAAGAUGUCCUACUUGAAAAUGGAUGGUGGCUAUGAUAGGUAUAUUUUUGGCCUAUGAAGAAUAAUUUCAGCCAGUAAUUUAUUGGUUUGAUGAAAUUCGAAUGUCUAUUCUAAGUGUGAAUCCAUAAAUACCUUUGGGAGGUUAUGACUCGAGCUGACAGGAAAGUAGCAGCUGAGCUAUUCAACUAUAUUUUGUGACUAUAAAGGCAAUUGGUCUAAUGUUGGAAUCUUUAGUCAAAUUGAUGCACAAACAUGAUGAUUUUCUCUAUGUUUGAUCAAAGUGAAAUUUACACGGGUUGAUGUGUGGGUGCUAUUGACAUGUACUGAUUAUUUCCCCGGCUUCAUUCUAGCACAAAGUGGAACAAAGAGCACUGCCUCCUUAACUAAUACAGUUAAUGCCAAGCACACCAAUGCACGGCCUGGCGGCUUACUACAACCUCUUCCAGUCCCAGAGGGCGCCUGUCGUGACAUCACCAUGGACUUCAUCGACGAACUACCACUCUCAGAGGGAUUUGAUGUCAUCCUUGUCGUCGUUGACAGGUUCACGAAGAUGGGCAUAACUUUGAUGCAAUGACCUCGCCAGAGACCUUUAUAAAAAAAAUGUUGUGAUGCUAUUUUUUUUGCUAUAAUUGUUUUGUUGUUUCGCUACUUUAGUAUAGAAAUUUUGCUACGAGGUCUCCGGCGAGGUCUUCGUCAAUAUUUCCGAUGAUAUUGGGUUUUGCCACAUUAGCAUUUUUCUGCUACAAUAGCAAUUUUUUUUUGCUA